Molecule: ribosomal RNA, 404 nt
Filed under: Verrucomicrobiota bacterium
Lineage: Bacteria; Pseudomonadati; Verrucomicrobiota
Description: Verrucomicrobia bacterium partial 16S ribosomal RNA
Rfam family: Bacterial small subunit ribosomal RNA
Source: RNAcentral
UGGGGAAUAUUGCGCAAUGGGGGAAACCCUGAUGCAGCGACGCCGCGUGAGCGAUGAAGGCUUUCGAGUCGUAAAGCUCUGUCCUAUGGGAAGAUAAUGACGGUACCAUAGAAGAAAGCCCCGGCUAAUUACGUGCCAGCAGCCGCGGUAAUACGUAAGGGGCGAGCGUUGUCCGGAAUUAUUGGGCGUAAAGAGUGCGUAGGCGGCAAAUUAAGUCAGAUGUGAAAACUAAGGGCUCAACCCAUAGAUUGCAUCUGAAACUGAUAUGCUUGAGUCAAGGAGAGGAAAGUGGAAUUCCUAGUGUAGCGGUGGAAUGCGUAGAUAUUAGGAGGAAUACCGGUGGCGAAGGCGACUUUCUGGACUUGAACUGACGCUGAGGCACGAAAGCGUGGGGAGCAAACAGG